AGUGAACGCUGGCGGUAGGCCUAACACAUGCAUGUCGAACGGCAGCACAGUAAGAGCUUGCUCUUACGGGUGGCGAGUGGCGGACGGGUGAGGAAUACAUCGGAAUCUACUUUUUCGUGGGGGAUAACGUAGGGAAACUUACGCUAAUACCGCAUACGACCUACGGGUGAAAGCAGGGGAUCUUCGGACCUUGCGCGAUUGAAUGAGCCGAUGUCGGAUUAGCUAGUUGGCGGGGUAAAGGCCCACCAAGGCGACGAUCCGUAGCUGGUCUGAGGGGAUGAUCAGCCACACUGGAACUGAGACACGGUCCAGACUCCUACGGGAGGCAGCAGUGGGGAAUAUUGGACAAUGGGCGCAAGCCUGAUCCAGCCAUACCGCGUGGGUGAAGAAGGCCUUCGGGUUGUAAAGCCCUUUUGUUGGGAAAGAAAAGCAGCAGGUUAAUACCCCGCUGUUCUGACGGUACCCAAAGAAUAAGCACCGGCUAACUUCGUG
This 492-nucleotide ribosomal RNA is filed under the name uncultured bacterium. RNAcentral's name for it is "partial 16S ribosomal RNA". It matches the Rfam family "Bacterial small subunit ribosomal RNA", at positions 29 to 507 of the family's 1533-position model. The record is from RNAcentral.